CCCACCUGACCCCAUGCCGAACUCAGAAGUGAAACGCCGUAGCGCCGAUGGUAGUGUGGGGCUUCCCCAUGUGAGAGUAGGGAACUGCCAGGC
This 93-nucleotide ribosomal RNA is filed under the name Pectobacterium brasiliense. The record is from RNAcentral. Lineage: Bacteria; Pseudomonadati; Pseudomonadota; Gammaproteobacteria; Enterobacterales; Pectobacteriaceae.